AUUGAACGCUGGCGGCAUGCCUUACACAUGCAAGUCGAACGGCAGCACGGGUGCUUGCACCUGGUGGCGAGUGGCGAACGGGUGAGUAAUACAUCGGAACAUGUCCUGUAGUGGGGGAUAGCCCGGCGAAAGCCGGAUUAAUACCGCAUACGAUCUACGGAUGAAAGCGGGGGACCUUCGGGCCUCGCGCUAUAGGGUUGGCCGAUAGCUGAUUAGCUAGUUGGUGGAGUAAAGGCCUACCAAGGCGACGAUCAGUAGCUGGUCUGAGAGGACGACCAGCCACACUGGGACUGAGACACGGCCCAGACUCCUACGGGAGGCAGCAGUGGGGAAUUUUGGACAAUGGGCGAAAGCCUGAUCCAGCAAUGCCGCGUGUGUGAAGAAGGCCUUCGGGUUGUAAAGCACUUUUGUCCGGAAAGAAAUCCUUGGCUCUAAUACAGUCGGGGGAUGACGGUACCGGAAGAAUAAGCACCGGCUAACUACGUG
RNAcentral lists this ribosomal RNA (486 nucleotides) under uncultured bacterium. RNAcentral describes it as "partial 16S ribosomal RNA". It matches the Rfam family "Bacterial small subunit ribosomal RNA", at positions 30 to 507 of the family's 1533-position model. The record is from RNAcentral.